CCGUAGGUGAACCUGCGGAAGGAUCAUUAAUGAUUGGUGGCUGUUGCUGACUAGUGUUUCUAGUAUGUGCACGCCACACCUUCAAUCCCACUUACACCUGUGCACCUUCUGUAGUACUCACUUGUGGACGCAGACGUGGAAGUGUUCACUGACUCUCCCACUUGCUGAAGCAGUAUAUUACGUUUUUUACACCCCCCCCAGAGUCCUUGAAAGGAUAUUUUAUUUCUUAUGAUAAAAACAACUUUCAACAACGGAUCUCUUGGCUCUCGCCUCGAUGAAGAACGUAGCGAAUUUCGAUAUGUAAUGUGAAAUGCCGAAUUCAGUGAAUCAUCGAAUCUUUGAACGCCCCCUGCGCUCUUUGGUAUUCCGAAGAGCCUGCCCGUUUGAGUGUCAAGAAUCUAUCAAAUAAAAUGAUUUAUUUUUGAAUCGUUAUUAUUUGGACUUGGAAGUUUGUUGGCGCAAGUCGACUCUUCUUAAAUGCAUUAGCUGGGGUUUAUAUAGUUGGAUCCUUGGUGUGAUAAUUAUCUACGCCUUGAAGUCCCUGUAGACUCUGCUUCAAAUCGUCUCUACUAUUGAGACAAUAUUUGAAUCAUCUGACCUCAAAUCAGGUAGGACUACCCGCUGAACUUAAGCAUAUCAAUAAGGCGGAGGA
Molecule: ribosomal RNA, 652 nt
Rfam family: 5.8S ribosomal RNA (bases 240-393)